AUGAGAGGAUUUCUAACACUUUUCAGAGCUCCUGCCAAAUACCAGUAGCACUUGAAAUAGAAGUGAAGUGGACUAAAUAUGGAUCCCUAGUCAAUCCACAAGCCAGAAUAGUAAAUGUUACAGCAACAACCACUACUACUACAUUGAAGCAGCUUCCUCUGGGAAGAGAAAGGACUAUUCCUAUAACAAGUUCUGUUGUUUUCACUGAUAUUUCUUCACCUGCAGAACCAGGCUAUAAAGCUUGGCCCACCAUUAAUGCCAAGUUACCCCAUGACUUUUUCUUCCCAUUUGUCUAAGGUGAGUGCCCAGGACAGUUUCUUCCCAACCCAUCAGUGGCCCAUCAGUUUCUUCCAAACUGUAGGCAUGCUGAGUUAAAAAUUCUCCAAUAGAAAAACAGGUGAGCCCUUGUGAGGGUUCUCAAAAGCUUUAAGGCAGGG
Meleagris gallopavo (turkey) is the source of this 437-nucleotide non-coding RNA. Lineage: Eukaryota; Metazoa; Chordata; Aves; Galliformes; Phasianidae. The record is from RefSeq and is a predicted model, not a curated record.